This 465-nucleotide ribosomal RNA is filed under the name uncultured bacterium. Its description in RNAcentral is "partial 16S ribosomal RNA". It matches the Rfam family "Bacterial small subunit ribosomal RNA", at positions 28 to 507 of the family's 1533-position model. The record is from RNAcentral.
GACGAACGCUGGCGGCGUGCUUAACACAUGCAAGUCGAACGGAAAGGCCCUGCUUGCAGGGUCCUCGAGUGGCGAACGGGUGAGUAACACGUGGGUGAUCUGCCCUGCACUUCGGGAUAAGCCUGGGAAACUGGGUCUAAUACCGGAUAGGAGCCAUUUUUAGUGUGAUGGUUGGAAAGUUUUUUCGGUGUAGGAUGAGCUCGCGGCCUAUCAGCUUGUUGGUGGGGUAAUGGCCUACCAAGGCGGCGACGGGUAGCCGGCCUGAGAGGGUGGACGGCCACAUUGGGACUGAGAUACGGCCCAGACUCCUACGGGAGGCAGCAGGGGGGAAUAUUGCAGAAGGGGCGCAAGCCGGAUGCAGCGACGCCGCGUGGGGGAUGACGGCCUUAGGGUUGUAAACUCCGUUCGCUAGGGACGAAGCUUUUUGUGACGGUACCUAGAUAAGAAGCACCGGCUAACUACGUG